GCUUUAUCACAGCUCAGUUGGUAGAGCGUGAGACUCUUAAUCUCAGGGCUGUGGAUUUGAGCCCCACAUUGGGUG
This is a non-coding RNA of Podarcis lilfordi (Lilford's wall lizard), 75 nucleotides long. Lineage: Eukaryota; Metazoa; Chordata; Lepidosauria; Squamata; Lacertidae. The record is from the annotation of a GenBank genome assembly.